UACGUAGGGUGCGAGCGUUGUCCGGAAUUAUUGGGCGUAAAGGGCUCGUAGGCGGUUUGUCGCGUCGGGAGUGAAAAUCCAGGGCUUAACUCUGGACUGGCUUCCGAUACGGGCAGACUAGAGGUAUGCAGGGGAGAACGGAAUUCCUGGUGUAGCGGUGAAAUGCGCAGAUAUCAGGAGGGACACCGGUGGCGAAGGCGGUUCUCUGGGCAUUACCUGACGCUGAGGAGCGAAAGUGUGGGGAGCGAACAGG
RNAcentral lists this ribosomal RNA (253 nucleotides) under uncultured bacterium. Its description in RNAcentral is "partial 16S ribosomal RNA". It matches the Rfam family "Bacterial small subunit ribosomal RNA", at positions 524 to 776 of the family's 1533-position model. The record is from RNAcentral.